This 55-nucleotide transfer RNA is filed under the name Gordionus alpestris. RNAcentral describes it as "tRNA-Gln". The record is from RNAcentral. Lineage: Eukaryota; Metazoa; Nematomorpha; Gordioida; Chordodea; Parachordodidae.
UAGUGACUUUAAUUAAAAAUUUGAAUUUUAAUUUGAUAGUAUCUAUCCUCACUAA